Molecule: long non-coding RNA, 992 nt
Filed under: Ananas comosus (pineapple)
Lineage: Eukaryota; Viridiplantae; Streptophyta; Magnoliopsida; Poales; Bromeliaceae
Description: long non-coding RNA (ACOM_LNC015135)
Source: RNAcentral
CAAACUAAAGUUUUAAAUCACUAUGAAAUAAAAUAAAUUCUAACAUAUCUAUUAUCUAUUACUUUUUAUUAAUCCCCAAUAACAAUAACUGAGGUGGAUGACCUCCCUUUUUUGGAAUUUUUUUGAUUUUUUUAUUUUUUAAAUUCCACAUAACCCUCUACAUUCUACAUUUCAUACUUACUUUCUAUUAAUCCCCAAUAACAAAAGCUGAGGUGGCAUGACCUCCUUUUUUUGGAAUUUUUUCUGAUUAAUUUAUUUUUUAAAUUCCACAUAAUCCUCUACAUUCUAUAUUUCAUACUAACUGUUUUUUUAGCAAUUAAUUUUCUAAAUUUGAAAACUUUUCUGAUUUUUUUAUUUUUUAAAUUCCAUAUAACCAACCCUCUACAUUCUACAUUUCAUACUAACUGUUUUUUUAGCAAUUAAUUUUCUAAAUUUGGAAAAGGUUCUUCAUAAUUGCAAUUGAUAAAUUAUUAUAAACUAUCUAUUACUUUCUAUUAAUCCCCAAUAACAAUAGCUGAGGUGGCAUGACCUCUUUUUUUGGAAUUUUUUUUGAUUUUUUUAUUUUUUAAAUUUCACAUAACCCUCUACAUUCUACAUUUCAUACUAACUGUCUAUUACUUUCUAUUAAUCCCCAAUAACAAAAGCUGAGGUGGCAUAACCUCCUUUUUUUGGAAUUUUUUCUGAUUAAUUUAUUUUUUAAAUUCCACAAAACCCUCUACAUUCUAUAUUUCAUACUAACUGUUUUUUUAGCAAUUAAUUUUCUAAAUUUGGAAACUUUUCUGAUUUUUUUAUUUUUUAAAUUCCAUAUAACCCUCUACAUUCUACAUUUCAUACUAACUGUUUUUUUAGCAAUUAAUUUUCUAAAUUUGGAAAAGGUUCUUCAUAAUUGCAAUUGAUAAAUUAUUAUAAACUAUAAUAAUUAAUUGUCUAAUAAACUAUAAUAAUUUCUAUUAAUUUUAAAAUUUUUUCAUUAAUAAAAUUCAAAAAAAAAA